AGAAAUCUAGUUUAUCCAAAAAAAUCUAGGCUUGUCAAGCCUAAGAAGUCAGUUAUGACGAUCUCUA
RNAcentral lists this transfer RNA (67 nucleotides) under Triops longicaudatus. RNAcentral describes it as "tRNA-Asp". Lineage: Eukaryota; Metazoa; Arthropoda; Branchiopoda; Notostraca; Triopsidae. The record is from RNAcentral.